UGAAGCGGGAAAAGCUCAAAUUUAAAAUCUGGCGGUGUAUGCUGUCCGAAUUGUAGCCUAGAGAAGUGUUACCUGCAUUGGACUGUGUAUAAGUCUCCUGGGAUGGAGCGUCAUAGAGGGUGAGAAUCCCGUGUUUGACACAGAUUACGCGAUGCGUUGUGGUAUGCUCUCAAAGAGUUGAGUUGUUUGGGAAUGCAGCUCUAAAUGGGUGGUAAAUUCCAUCUAAAGCUAAAUAUUGGCGAGAGACCGAUAGCGAACAAGUACCGUGAGGGAAAGAUGAAAAGAACUUUGGAAAGAGAGUUAAACAGUAUGUGAAAUUGUUGAAAGGGAAACGUUUAAAGUCAGUUAUAUUGAUUAGGGAUCAGACUACCAGAUUAAAUGGUGGUCGCAUUUCCUAGUUGAUAGGUCAACAUCAGUUUGGACGGCUAGAGAAAAACAAUGGGGAAUGUGGCACCUUUUGGUGUGUUAUAGACCCGUGUUAUAUAAAGCAGUUAAGACUGAGGA
Molecule: ribosomal RNA, 504 nt
Filed under: Amanita parvivirginea
Lineage: Eukaryota; Fungi; Basidiomycota; Agaricomycetes; Agaricales; Amanitaceae
Description: eukaryotic LSU rRNA
Rfam family: Eukaryotic large subunit ribosomal RNA
Source: RNAcentral